UUCGCUAUUUUGUCAUCCAAAACACAAGCAUUUGAUUGGUUUCGCUAUUUUGUCAUCCAAAACACAAGCAUUUGAUUGGUUUCGCUAUUUUGUCAUCUAAAACACAAGCAUUUGAUUGGAUCGGAAUUUUGUCAUGGCUUCGCUAUUUCCAUUUCGCAACGGAGUAGAAACGAAUUCGACUACCCGGCGAAGAGAAUAUUUCUCAGAGAAACAUUCCAAAAUCAUGUUGCGCAUGCGUUCAACCUUUUCGCGUGAAAUUUUUCGCAUUUCGGUUGUCGUGGAAUUAGGCCUAUAAGGAUAACUGAGAUAAAACGUGCAACGACGAUGAAUAAUAUUUAAUGAAGUUGAGACAAAGGAUUUGUGCAUGGUGAGGUACAGUUCAACAUCAAACAAAAGUCUUCUAUUUU
Molecule: non-coding RNA, 407 nt
Organism: Paramuricea clavata
Lineage: Eukaryota; Metazoa; Cnidaria; Anthozoa; Malacalcyonacea; Plexauridae
Source: the annotation of a GenBank genome assembly